GGGCCUAUAGCUCAGCUUGGUCAGAGCGCUGGUCUUAUAAGCCAGAGCGCCGGGGUUCAAAUCCCCGUAGGCCCA
RNAcentral lists this transfer RNA (75 nucleotides) under Candidatus Aenigmatarchaeota archaeon. RNAcentral's name for it is "tRNA-Ile". It matches the Rfam family "tRNA". Rfam says of the family: Transfer RNA (tRNA) molecules are approximately 80 nucleotides in length. Their secondary structure includes four short double-helical elements and three loops (D, anti-codon, and T loops). Further hydrogen bonds mediate the characteristic L-shaped molecular structure. tRNAs have two regions of fundamental functional importance: the anti-codon, which is responsible for specific mRNA codon recognition, and the 3' end, to which the tRNAs corresponding amino acid is attached (by aminoacyl-tRNA synthetases). tRNAs cope with the degeneracy of the genetic code in two manners: having more than one tRNA (with a specific anti-codon) for a particular amino acid; and 'wobble' base-pairing, i.e. permitting non-standard base-pairing at the 3rd anti-codon position. Lineage: Archaea; Nanobdellati; Candidatus Aenigmatarchaeota. The record is from RNAcentral.